Molecule: ribosomal RNA, 497 nt
Filed under: uncultured bacterium
Lineage: Bacteria
Description: partial 16S ribosomal RNA
Rfam family: Bacterial small subunit ribosomal RNA
Source: RNAcentral
GACGAACGCUGGCGGCGUGCCUAAUACAUGCAAGUAGAACGCUGAAGAGAGGAGCUUGCUCUUCUUGGAUGAGUUGCGAACGGGUGAGUAACGCGUAGGUAACCUGCCUUGUAGCGGGGGAUAACUAUUGGAAACGAUAGCUAAUACCGCAUAACAAUGGAUGACACAUGUCAUUUAUUUGAAAGGGGCAAUUGCUCCACUACAAGAUGGACCUGCGUUGUAUUAGCUAGUAGGUGAGGUAACGGCUCACCUAGGCGACGAUACAUAGCCGACCUGAGAGGGUGAUCGGCCACACUGGGACUGAGACACGGCCCAGACUCCUACGGGAGGCAGCAGUAGGGAAUCUUCGGCAAUGGGGGCAACCCUGACCGAGCAACGCCGCGUGAGUGAAGAAGGUUGUCGGAUCGUAAAGCUCUGUUGUAAGUCAAGAACGAGUGUGAGAGUGGAAAGUUCACACUGUGACGGUAGCUUACCAGAAAGGGACGGCUAACUACGUA